This 1344-nucleotide long non-coding RNA is filed under the name Coturnix japonica (Japanese quail). Its description in RNAcentral is "lncRNA (ENSCJPG00005019897.1)". The record is from RNAcentral. Lineage: Eukaryota; Metazoa; Chordata; Aves; Galliformes; Phasianidae.
CCUGUGAAAGUUAGCGAAUGUGGGGGUUGUGAGGCUGUGAAUAGAACAUGCAAGGAUUCUCCAAAACCACUUGCUGGUUUACAAAUCAACUUCAUUGCCUUACACCAAGUGGCAGUAUGACAGAGACCUGGUUAAACAUCUCAUGGGAUACAUGCUGUGCAGACUAAGUGCUUGCUGUCAGUAGCCCCCAAAACACUGAUGGAAACAUACUAACGCUGUAUAAUCAUUGUAUGGCUUAUAAUAGUUAAAAAUAUAUGUGGUAGAAAAGUAGAAAUUCUUACCUAUGUAUGUUCAUCAGCUUUUUUCCUGCCUUCAAGCCCUAAGUCAUUAGUAGACAAAUUGUCCUGCAGCAGAGUGAAGAAAUAGCAAUAAUGUCAGCCAGAGGCCUUUAAAAUGGUGUGACUACUGAACUCAGGGUGAACCAGCAGCUUGUUAAGGUGCAAGAACCAUCCUCAGUGUGAAUGCACAAUGUUGAUAGGCUUGAACUACAAGCAGAGGUAAUGCACAUUGCAACCCAGACAGCAGAUGAGCAUGAAACAUCUGGAAAGGGCAGCGGGCCCCCGAGGAGAGCUCGUCUGAAACUACACAUGGCCCAGAAGGCACUGGAUUAACCUGGCUGUUAUCAGUAUGGUCCAGGAAGGGAGGAGGCUCAAGCCAUUUGGAAAAAUAAAAAUAAACAUAGAGAGAUUCAGAUAUCAGAUGCAAUUUGCAUUUGGUCAUUUGCCAGCCAUCUCAAGUGUGAAUUUUCAUUGCCCUUCCCUGUGAGCAACUGUGCACUUGUGCAACAUUAACUGCCUAAAUCUGCAGUAUUCCUGUGUUGAAUGAGGGUACCCACAGAGUAAGCACAUAAAACCUAGUUCAUGUUAGGUGACCCCAGGUUUAAUGUUUCUUGCCUUCAGAGAUGCUGCAGGUGUGGUUCUCAAAUCAAGCCUAAGCUUUCUGGAGAGCUGUCAGAGUGCCAUUGAAGGCUGUGCUGCAGCAGGGUCUGCUGCAAUGGAGACAGGUGUUUGUUUGGCCAGUCCAGGCUACUGAGCACAGUGAUCCAAGCUUUCCUGUCCUAAUGUCAGCCCAUGUGCAGGCAAUGGGGCUGGAACAACAUUCUUCACUGAGAACAGAGGGCCUGCAAAACUUAGGUUUAAUGAGAAAGGUACACUUCUGUGCAAAAUGAAGGACAAGCAUUUGUAAAAUGGUGGUUUACAUCUUCCAGGAAAAUGACAUUUCCACACAAGGUCAGCUGUAGCAGUGAAAGCUGAAUUAGCUUUCCUCACAAUAUGCCAUGUUCCAUCGUGGAGUGUUCAAAUGAUUACUUAGUUAUAAUUUAAAUAAAACAUAUAUUUGAAGACA